GAAAUUGUUACGGAAUCAUAGCUAUAUGUCAAAGAGAGCCUGGCACAAAAACCACGUGUCAAUUAAAAAGGCUAAAGUGGUUUAUCAUAAUUUAUACUACAUGUUUAACUCUAAUAAGAAAUUAAAUGUUUAAAAACAAACGGAGUGAAUUGAAAUAUCUUAGUAACUUCAGGAAAAUAAAUCAAAAGAGAUUUUUUAAGUAAUGUGAAUGAAAGAAAAAAAGUCUUAAUAAGUAAAUUGGAGUGCAUAUCUGUUUGAAUAAAAGGGGAACCUUCCUCUAAGACUAAAUAUGAUAUAUAUGCGAUAGCGAAAAGUACCGUGAGGGAAAGGAUUUAAAUAGCAAUUUUAUAAGCAGCUUGAUAAAAGUUUAAAUAAACAAUAAAAGCGUACCUUUUGCAUAAUGGGUCAGUAAGUUAAUGUUUGAUGCGAGCAGUAAUGCGUAGAUAAAACAAUCAUGACGUAAUGAUAUAGUAUCAAAAAUUAGACCCGAAGCCUAGUGAUAUUACCACAAUCAGGAUUAUAAAGGUCCGAACGGGUUAUCGUUGUAAAGAUAUCCGAAGAGUUGUGGUAAGUUAGUGAAAGACAAUACUGACUAGGAUAGCUGGUUUUCUGCGAAACCUAUAUAAGUAGGUAAUUUAAAUAGAAUAUCAGAAGGUACAGAAUUGUGAUCUCAUACAACUAGUAUUUAUCUUUUGAGGUUUGCUUUGCAAGAAAACAAGGAUAAAUGCUUUUUGUGGACAUUGGGGGGUCGUGAAGACUCUAUCAGUGAGUAUUUGUUCUCGGAAGGACUAGAUAUGAA
RNAcentral lists this ribosomal RNA (799 nucleotides) under Lecanora bermudensis. RNAcentral describes it as "partial large subunit ribosomal RNA". It matches the Rfam family "Bacterial large subunit ribosomal RNA", at positions 15 to 973 of the family's 2925-position model. Lineage: Eukaryota; Fungi; Ascomycota; Lecanoromycetes; Lecanorales; Lecanoraceae. The record is from RNAcentral.